UCCCGCGUCUAUUAAUUGUAGACUUUGCGAAUGGUUUAACGUUUCUUUUAUUGUGUCGGUUUUGUUAGCUAGAAAUUUUUUUUAAGGUUAAGAAACUUUAAUAGGCUUAAAAGACGAGAAGACCCCGUGAAACUUUAUUCUGAGUAAAAAAUUUUUUUAUAACUGAAUUUUGUUGGGGUAACAUUUUCUAAUGAAAAAAAGAAAAAAAUUGUCUUAGUAAAUUGAUAAAUUUCUUGAUCCAAAAUUUUUUGAUUGUAGAUAAAGUUACUCCGGGGAUAACAGGAUAAUUUUUUUUGUUUAGAUCUUAUUUCAAAAAAAGUUUGUCACCUCGAUGUUGGCUUAAGCGAACUUAUUCGGCGCAGCCGCUGAAUUGAGUAGGACUGUUCGUCCAUUGAGUGCUUACAUGAUCUGAG
Molecule: ribosomal RNA, 413 nt
Filed under: Carditamera bajaensis
Lineage: Eukaryota; Metazoa; Mollusca; Bivalvia; Carditida; Carditidae
Description: partial 16S ribosomal RNA
Rfam family: Bacterial large subunit ribosomal RNA
Source: RNAcentral